GUUGAAAGCUUAUCCCGCUUAUUAAAACAGUAUCGCUUGUAGAUCUCAUUGACUUCUCCGAUGCAGUGUUUCUCCAUUUUAGCCAUUACCACUCGCCAAUUAUUUGAAUCCUUGCCCUCGGUGUAGCUAAAUGUUUUGAUAACUUUCAAAGCUUCAUUGCUGAUUGUGUGAUUGAACAUAGCAAGCUGAUAUUGAGGGCUUUCUUGAUCUAGCCUAGAAAUAACAAAAUAGUUGUUGUACUUUUCCUUCCAAAGCUUCCAAUUCUUGGCUACUCCUCUGCUGGGCUGCAAAGCAAGAGGUUGAGGCGGUGAAAUUUGAUGAAACAUUGGAGACUGGUUCGUUGAAGGUUGAGCAACUGUAGAAGAGCUUCCACCGGUUCCACUAUGGCCUUCCUCAUCGCUCAUGUCGCUGACAGUUUAAUUCGUCGACGACCAAGAGAAACUAGACCAAUUUUCUGCUCGCUGACACCGUGUAAUAUUAUGAAGGACACAAACGGAGUAAAAUGAAAUACACUUUGCUCGAACUCGACACGAUUACAACUGAACUUCAAGCUAUAACAGAAUACUAAAUAAACUAAAGCACGGUGGGAACAGGUCCCUAGAGGCAUGUGCUAAUGCAUAUUGUAACAACAUUAUAAGGAUUUUAUCAUCCGCAUAUUGUCAAUCACAAUUUUCCAUCCGCAUUUUGUCAUCCGCAUUUUUCCAUCUGCAUUUUGUCAUCCGCAUUUUAUCAUGUGCAUUUUUCAUCCGCCAUCCACCGCCAUCCAGUCUGCACAGAGACCCAACAAUUCCCCACCCCUGGAACUCGUAUCUACCUCAACUAUGUCUGUACAGUAUGUGCAAUAAAUAGGGUGGCAAUGUUGGUUGCUGUACAAUAACAAAAACAGACAUUUUGUCAAGAGCGCAACGCUUUUCUAGAGUUUAUUGAACGAAGAAUACUAUGUAGAGCAAUAUAUAUGGAGUGCGCAGUUAUUUUCCCUUUCACCUUUCGGGCUAAACAAAAGACAAGAAUUUCAUUCAAAAAAUUGCAUCUGCUUUACUUAAUUUUAGCAGACUUUGGGCAAUGGGUUGUGAGUUUCCUAAGGUGCAUUUUUAACACUGAAUUUUUUUUUUAACUAGUUGUUGUGUAUGCACUGACUAAAUAUUGUCAUGCCAAGGAGGUGUCAUAUCACAAAGUCACACAAUAGUUAUGCAAAUUUAGCUCAUAGAAUCCCUCUUCAGUUAUAUGAAAUGGGUUAGAACAUAAACAAGUCUGCAACUAUAGUUUUGGGCGAGCAAGAAGAUUUUCAUGCUCUCAAAUUCAAUGUGAGCUUUAUAAUUUUGCUCACAGACUAAAAUUUCGAGCUUGUUCUUUGAGGGUCUCCUAUACCCCUUUGUGAAACUCAGUCGCGUAAAAAUAUUUGGCUUUUUCACGUGUCACGAAUAAUAUCCAACAUUAGUUCACACUCAUGCGAAAUUGGAGACGAUUCCGUGUUAAAUAAAAAUAAAAAAACAAAUUCAAGAAUUAAUAUUUCAACUUCUUCCUACCUGUUUAUAAAGCUUUUUUUUUUUCCUCCUAGUUUGGCUCUUCAAUUGAGUAUUACAAUACAAUACAGUAACUUUACUUAUAUAGUGAGUAUAUACAAAGCUCUAUAUCGCAUUACAGCCAUGAAAAUAACACUAAAUAUGAUAAUUUAAACUAAAAUAAAGUAUUCAUCUAAAUCACAAAACAGGUCUGUCAGACCUCUCCUUGUUUUGCAAAGACAUAGAUGGUUGUCUUAAUUCCACACUGCCAAGUUAAGUUCGAGUUGAACUUUUAGUUGCACAACUUCCAAAGGAGUCACAUUUCAGUUUUGACUCCUAAUUCACGCAACCCUUUACUGGUCUUUGCUGCUAGUCCUUUCCAGAAGAAGAGGGCCUGAUUGGUAUAUAUUCAUGUUCCUUUAGUGCAUUUCUGCAUUCCUCAGUAGAAUUUCGAACAGAUGUACAUUAGACAGUAUACUCAGUACACUUGCAAGGAAUAAUACCUGUACCUAUGAGUUAUAGAGAUUGGAGUUGCAGUAGCCUGAUGGUUAGUGCCCUGUCUAGACACUGGAUUGAUCAGUCCAGGUUCAGGUCCUGGCCAAGGCACUGCAUUGUGUUCUUAGGCAAGGCACUAGUGCUUUUCCUCACCCAGAUGAAUAAAUAGUAACAAUGAUUACAAUGGUGGGGAUUAACCUUGCAAUGGUUUCUUAUCGCUAAGGCAUGACUAAUUGGGAUAAGCUCCAAAUUUGCCUUAACAGAGAUACCAAAGUCUCUGAAGCACCAUAUUCACAUAAGGUUGCUGGCUGAUAAAACAUCUUUUAACACCAAAAUUUGAUUUCUAGGGUUGUCCUGGGCAUAAGCGACAAUAGAUGACUAAUGUCUUAUUUGUUUAGAAACCAUUAAUGGUCUAUUUUAGGACUUUCAUUGAUCCAUGUGAAGUCCGUUUAAUGUCAAAACCCCAGCACAGCUGUUCCAAAACAAUUCAUACAUUUUCAAAACUGUAAAAUUGUUGGACAUUCAUCACUCAAAAACAAAAUGGUUCACAAAUUGGGUUUACUUCAACUCUUCAUUCAUGGGACACGGUUAAAUAAACAAUAUUUGUUCACGUGGACAUAAUAAAUCUUGCCAUCUUUUAACUCGAAUCAAAAAAAAAGAAAAAUUUCAAACCACUAUUCAUGAGAACAUAAAUAGCCCAGUCAUGCUUCACUUAAAAAGUAUAGAGGACCCUCUUCUUUUGUUCGCAUAUUUGGUUCGUGCAGAGUAGGUGUCAAAUCAAAGUCACACAACAGUCAUCCUUUCUGGCCUUGAGAAAAUGUUAGGGUCAGGUACGCAUAUACAUACGAGAAUUGCCUCUUUAUACAAGGGGACGUGUAACAAAAUCUAUGUAUGCAAGUGAAUAUAUGAAAUAUAUUAAAUUUGACCUCCAGAGAAAGAUGUAAAGACAUCAAUUAUCAUGGCAGUUUUGUACAUAGCUUAAGCAGUUGUAAAAAUAAGACCUGAAAAAUUCAGGCUUAAGGAGGAUUUGUACAAGCCAAAAUUUAAGCAUGUUCUUUUGUUUACAUAUUGAGUUUAUGCUGAGUUAUGGUAUUGGUGGGCGUUGAUUCUGAGAAGGUGUCAUCAAAAAGUGACCUAACAGUAAUGCUAAUGAGUCUCAUAAAACUCUUUUCUAGUAAGAAGAAGCACGUUGGAGAAUAAACAAGUUUACAACUAUAGUUUGCUUUGGUUGCUUGCUUUUUAAGGCCACUGUGUUAUCAAGGAUAGGUGUAUCUUCAUCUUUCACGGGCCUCCCUGUAAACCACUUUGGUAACGGAAGUUUCCUGGCUUCAUGUACAUGCACGCACCCGACUCACUAAGGGAACGCAAAUCAAUUUAUGCACCUGUUGUGGCCGGUUGUUACUAUCGCGGGUG
Molecule: long non-coding RNA, 3410 nt
Organism: Orbicella faveolata
Lineage: Eukaryota; Metazoa; Cnidaria; Anthozoa; Scleractinia; Merulinidae
Source: RefSeq, a predicted model, not a curated record